Gorilla gorilla gorilla (western lowland gorilla) is the source of this 406-nucleotide long non-coding RNA. RefSeq lists it as uncharacterized. The record is from RefSeq and is a predicted model, not a curated record. NCBI's taxonomy places the organism in Eukaryota, Metazoa, Chordata, Mammalia, Primates, Hominidae. The transcript is spliced from 3 exons.
UGGCAAUAUGUGGCUCCAGGGGAGAGGCAAAAGUGGAGGUUCCCGAGUCAUCUGAGAUUUGUUGCCUCGGAACAGGAUCCACAGCUCAAUAAUAGUAAAUAUAUCUGAGAUUUGUUGCCUCGGAACAGGAUCCACAGCUCAAUAAUAGUCACUGUACUGUCAUUGUUUAUUUGAAAUCUAAAAGUGUAAUGCAAGAAUAUGCAAGACCACAGGGACUGGAGACACAAAGAGCAUCUGAAGAGAGCUUGAAUGACUCCCAAAAGUUCCAAACAGUCUCAAAGUUACCAUGUGCAGCACAGUCAGGGGAGCAUGUGAGAAGAACAACAAGAAAGCUGGGGUCGCCAGAGAAGACGGAAGCCCUCACAUUAAACUGAGUCAACUGGCAUCUUGAUCUUGGACUUCCAAA